GAGUUUGAUUCUGGCUCAGGAUAAACGCUGGCGGCGUGCCUAACACAUGCAAGUCGAACGCCCUUUCGCAAGAAAGGGAGUGGCGGACGGGUGAGUACCACGUGGGUACCUACCCCAAGAUGAGGAAUACCUCCGAGAAAUCGGAGACAAGACCGCAUACCCUUCUUCCAGAAGGAAAGCCCGCAAGAGCGUCUUGGGAUGGGCCUGCGCCUGAUUAGCUGGUUGGUGGGGUAAGAGCCUACCAAGGCGUCGAUCAGUAGCUGGUCUGAGAGGAUGAUCAGCCACACUGGGAUUGAGAACGGCCCAGACUCCUACGGGGGGCAGCAGUGAGGAAUUUUCGUCAAUGGAGGCAACUCUGAACGAGCAACGCCGCGUGCAGGAUGACACCCUUCGGGGCGUAAACUGCUUUUCUCGGAGAAGAGAGCGGACGGUAUCCGAGGAACAAGCCCCGGCUAACUACGUGCCAGCAGCCGCGGUAAUACGUAGGGGGCAAGCGUUGUCCGGAGUUACUGGGCGUAAAGGGCCCGCAGGCGGUGCGCCAAGUUCCCACUGACAAUCUCCCGCUUAACGGGAGAGGGUGUGGGAAAACUGGGGCACUUGAGCAGGAGAGAGGGACAGGGAAUUCCGGGUGGAGUGGUGAAAUGCGUAGAUAUCCGGAGGAACCCCAAUGGCGAAGGCACUGUCCUGGCUCCUUGCUGACGCUCAGGGGCGAAAGCCAGGGGAGCGAACGGGAUUAGAUACCCCGGUAGUCCUGGCUGUAAACGAUGACCACUAGACGUUCGGGGUAUCGACCCCCUGAGUGUCGCAGCUAACGCGAGAAGUGGUCCGCCUGGGGAGUACGGUCGCAAGAUUAAAACUCAAAGGAAUUGACGGGGACCCGCACAAGCAGCGGAGCGUGUGGUUUAAUUCGAUGCAACGCGAAGCACCUUACCAGGGUUUGACAUGGUUGUGAUACUCCUAGAGAUAGGACUUCCUUCGGGACACAAUCACAGGUGCUGCAUGGCUGUCGUCAGCUCGUGCCGUGAGGUGUUGGGUUAAGUCCCGCAACGAGCGCAACCCUCAUCGGUAGUUGGAUUUGUCUACCGAGACUGCCGCGAUCAACGUGGAGGAAGGUGGGGAUGACGUCAAGUCAGCACGGCCCUUACAUCCUGGGCGACACACACGCUACAAUGGCGAGGACAACGAGUUGCCAACCCGCGAGGGGGAGCUAAUCUUCCAAACCUCGUCCCAGUUCAGAUUGCAGGCUGCAACCCGCCUGCAUGAAGGUGGAGUUGCUAGUAACCGUGAGUCAGCACAUCACGGUGAAUCCGUUCCCGGGUCUUGUACACACCGCCCGUCACACCACGAAAGUCGGCAACCCCUGAAGCCGCUGGGCUAACCCGCGAGGGAGGCAAGCGUCGAGGGUGGGGUCGGUGAUUGGGGUGAAGUCGUAACAAGGUAGC
RNAcentral lists this ribosomal RNA (1442 nucleotides) under uncultured Ktedonobacterales bacterium. Its description in RNAcentral is "bacterial SSU rRNA". It matches the Rfam family "Bacterial small subunit ribosomal RNA". The record is from RNAcentral. Lineage: Bacteria; Bacillati; Chloroflexota; Ktedonobacteria; Ktedonobacterales.